RNAcentral lists this ribosomal RNA (338 nucleotides) under uncultured bacterium. RNAcentral's name for it is "partial 16S ribosomal RNA". It matches the Rfam family "Bacterial small subunit ribosomal RNA", at positions 338 to 673 of the family's 1533-position model. The record is from RNAcentral.
CCUACGGGGGGCUGCAGUGAGGAAUAUUGGUCAAUGGACGAGAGUCUGAACCAGCCAAGUAGCGUGAAGGAUGACUGCCCUAUGGGUUGUAAACUUCUUUUAUAAAGGAAUAAAACGAGGCACGUGUGCCUUUUUGCAUGUACUUUAUGAAUAAGGAUCGGCUAACUCCGUGCCAGCAGCCGCGGUAAUCCGGAGGAUCCGAGCGUUAUCCGGAUUUAUUGGGUUUAAAGGGAGCGUAGAUGGGUUGUUAAGUCAGUUGUGAAAGUUUGCGGCUCAACCGUAAAAUUGCAAUUGAUACUGGAAGUCUUGAGUAAGGUGAAGUAGGGCGGAUGUGGGGG